Long non-coding RNA from Homo sapiens (human), 1282 nucleotides. Ensembl annotates it as lncRNA bladder and prostate cancer suppressor, hnRNPK interacting. Its record names the gene LNC-LBCS. Lineage: Eukaryota; Metazoa; Chordata; Mammalia; Primates; Hominidae. The record is from Ensembl.
GGAGACUUUUUCCAAACUUUCUUCCCGGGGGCCAUCCUCUCACCUGUCAUACACAGAAAAGUGAAUUCUUGUUAUCAGAAAGGGGCCCAAUCCAGAUCCCAAGAGAAGGCUCUUGGAUCUCACACAAGAAAGUAUUCCAGUAUUUGUACAGUUGAGCCGAAAUGCCUGUUCUAACAAAGAGAGCCUGGGUGGGACUGCCAAGAUGAAUAGACAUAAUCCUCGAUCUAACCACUUCACAGUUUAUCAUCGGAGUCAAGUUUGCAGAUAAACAAUUGCCAUGCAACUUUCAAGAGACGGGGUGUCAUCCUGUUGCUCAGGCUGGUCUCAAACUCCUGGCCCUAAGUGAUCCUCCUGCCUCAGCCUCUCAAAGUGCUGGGAUUACGGGUGUGAACCUAAUCGCAGAGAAAAUGGUGCCUGAGAUGAGCAAGGUCAGCAGACAAGAAGUGAGGUCAAUGUCAGGUUUCCAUGCCAGCAGCGGGAACUCUGGAUACAGUGGAGAGUCACAGCUGGUCAAACCCUGAACCGCUUGCUCCUUGAAAUGGCCAGAGAGGCCCAUCCCAGAGCCAUCUCAUCAUCUCUCCUCAGACAGGAAACCGAGAAGGAAAACAAUCAGCUCUGUUCUCUCUGGGCCGAGGGAGUGAGCUGUAAUGAGGGAGCACAGGAACGCAUUGGGCGCCCUCAGACCUGAACACACAGGUUAGCACCACCUGCCUGGCUGACCUGGCUCACAGUUGAGAAUAACUCAUCCAGGGUUGUUGAAUGGUGGAGGAUCUUCCAAAAUCAGCAGCUAGGAGGUCGAGAACCCUUCAUGCCAUACUAAGAAGUUUCAUGCUAGGCAAAGAAGAGUGACAAGAGGUACACAAAGAAGGAUUACCACAGGAAAUCCAGAGAGGCUUUAGAAGACGAGCUUGCGUUGAGAUAGAAGCCGGAAGCCCACUUAGCCAACUGCCUCCAUGGGACUUGGCAUGAGGCAGGCUUAUGACAGUAAAUGCUACACUGCCCUCAGUGAAAAAGAGAAUUUGGCAUUCAUUCUUCUGAACCCGCCAUCCCUCAGCCUUGGCGCCUGGGAAUUCUGCGAAUCGUUGCCUGUGGCAGUGACACUGAUUUGUAUCUGGGUAUGAACUUAAAUGAAAACAUGAAUUGAACUCAUUACUUGAGGAAGGAAACACUGCCAAAUUUAACAGGAUGAAAUUCCAGCAGGGUGUAAGGUUUUAUGGGGCUACAGUGGAAUAUCUCAUAGAAAGGUUUCCAGUUCAUAAAACACUUUCAAAACAUGCUCGGC